UACGUAGGGUGCAAGUGUUAAUCGGAAUUACUGGGCGUAAAGCGUGCGCAGGCGGUUCGCUAAGACAGAUGUGAAAUCCCCGGGCUUAACCUGGGAACUGCAUUUGUGACUGGCGGGCUAGAGUAUGGCAGAGGGGGGUAGAAUUCCACGUGUAGCAGUGAAAUGCGUAGAGAUGUGGAGGAAUACCGAUGGCGAAGGCAGCCCCCUGGGCCAAUACUGACGCUCAUGCACGAAAGCGUGGGGAGCAAACAGG
RNAcentral lists this ribosomal RNA (253 nucleotides) under uncultured bacterium. RNAcentral describes it as "partial 16S ribosomal RNA". It matches the Rfam family "Bacterial small subunit ribosomal RNA", at positions 524 to 776 of the family's 1533-position model. The record is from RNAcentral.